GGGCCUAUAGCUCAGGUGGUUAGAGCGCACGCCUGAUAAGCGUGAGGUCAGUGGUUCAAAUCCACUUAGGCCCACCA
This 77-nucleotide transfer RNA is filed under the name Magnetococcales bacterium. RNAcentral's name for it is "tRNA-Ile". It matches the Rfam family "tRNA". From Rfam's summary of the family: Transfer RNA (tRNA) molecules are approximately 80 nucleotides in length. Their secondary structure includes four short double-helical elements and three loops (D, anti-codon, and T loops). Lineage: Bacteria; Pseudomonadati; Pseudomonadota; Magnetococcia; Magnetococcales. The record is from RNAcentral. RNAcentral also lists the same sequence under 2 other names.